AACGAACGCUGGCGGCAUGCCUAACACAUGCAAGUCGAACGAAGCCUUCGGGCUUAGUGGCGCACGGGUGCGUAACGCGUGGGAAUCUGCCCUUGGGUUCGGAAUAACAGUUAGAAAUGACUGCUAAUACCGAAUGAUGUCUUCGGACCAAAGAUUUAUCGCCCAAGGAUGAGCCCGCGUCGGAUUAGCUAGUUGGUGAGGUAAAGGCUCACCAAGGCGACGAUCCGUAGCUGGUCUGAGAGGAUGAUCAGCCACACUGGGACUGAGACACGGCCCAGACUCCUACGGGAGGCAGCAGUGGGGAAUAUUGGACAAUGGGCGAAAGCCUGAUCCAGCAAUGCCGCGUGAGUGAUGAAGGCCUUAGGGUUGUAAAGCUCUUUUGCCAGGGAAGAUGAUGACUGUACCUGGAGAAUAAGCCCCGGCUAACUUCGUGCCAGCAGCCGCGGUAAU
RNAcentral lists this ribosomal RNA (450 nucleotides) under uncultured bacterium. RNAcentral describes it as "bacterial SSU rRNA". It matches the Rfam family "Bacterial small subunit ribosomal RNA", at positions 29 to 524 of the family's 1533-position model. The record is from RNAcentral.